UUUAAAAGAAGUAGAAAAAUUAGGGUAGUAUUAGUUAUUUUCUUAAAACUUAAAAAAUUUGGCGGUAUUUUAUUCUUUUCAGAGGAACUUGUUUUAUAAUUGAUAAUCCUCAUUGAAUCUUACUUAAUUUUGAAUAAUUUGUAUACCGUUGUCAUAAGAAAAUUUUUAAAAAAAAAUAAUUUUCUAAUUUAAAUAAUACUUUAUAUGUCAGAUCAAGGUGCAGUUUAUAAUUAAGAAAAAAUGAGUUACAAUUAAAUUAUUAAUAACGAAAUAAUAAAUGAAAUAUUAUUAUGAAGGUGGAUUUGGAUGUAAAUUUAUAGAGAUUAUUAAAUUGAUAUUAGUUUUAAAAUGUGC
This 354-nucleotide ribosomal RNA is filed under the name unidentified. RNAcentral's name for it is "Tergostylus sp. NB-2020 partial 12S ribosomal RNA". The record is from RNAcentral.